GAAAGAAAGGAUUUAUUCGGUAAAAGAUGGGCCCGCAUCUGAUUAGCUAGUUGGUGAGAUAAUAGCCCACCAAGGCAACGAUCAGUAGCCGACCUGAGAGGGUGACCGGCCACAUUGGGACUGAGACACGGCCCAAACUCCUACGGGAGGCAGCAGUGGGGAAUAUUGCACAAUGGGGGAAACCCUGAUGCAGCAACGCCGCGUGAAGGAAGACGGUUUUCGGAUUGUAAACUUCUAUCAAUAGGGAAGAAAGGAAUGACGGUACCUAAAUAAGAAGCCCCGGCUAACUACGUGCCAGCAGCCGCGGUAAUACGUAGGGGGCAAGCGUUAUCCGGGAUUACUGGGUGUAAAGGGAGAGUAGGCGGCAAGGUAAGCGAUAUGUGAAAACCUUAGGCUUAACCUGAGGAUAGCAUAACGAACUAUCUAGCUAGAGUACAGGAGAGGGAAGCGGAAUUCUUAGUGUAGCGGUGAAAUGCGUAGAUAUUAGGAAGGACACCAGUGGCGAAGGCGGCUUUCUGGACUGAAACUGACGCUGAGGCUCGAAAGCGUGGGGAGCGAACAGGAUUAGAUACCCUGGUAGUCCACGCUGUAAACGAUGAGUGCUAGGUGUCGGGGAGGAAUCCUCG
RNAcentral lists this ribosomal RNA (626 nucleotides) under uncultured bacterium. Its description in RNAcentral is "bacterial SSU rRNA". It matches the Rfam family "Bacterial small subunit ribosomal RNA", at positions 198 to 842 of the family's 1533-position model. The record is from RNAcentral.